AACGAACGCUGGCGGCAUGCCUAACACAUGCAAGUCGAACGAGACCUUCGGGUCUAGUGGCGCACGGGUGCGUAACGCGUGGGAACCUGCCCUUAGGUUCGGAAUACCUCCCCGAAAGGGGUGCUAAUACCGGAUAAUGUCUUCGGACCAAAGAUUUAUCGCCUUUGGAUGGGCCCGCGUUGGAUUAGCUAGUUGGUAGGGUAAAAGCCUACCACGGUGACGAUCCAUAGCUGGUCUGAGAGGAUGAUCAGCCACACUGGGACUGAGACACGGCCCAGACUCCUACGGAAGGCAGCAGUGGGGAAUAUUGUACAAUGGGCGAAAGCCUGAUCCAGCAAUGCCGCGUGAGUGAUGAAGGCCUUAGGGUUGUAAAGCUCUUUUACCCGGGAUGAUAAUGACAGUACCGGGAGAAUAAGCUCCGGCUAACUCCGUG
RNAcentral lists this ribosomal RNA (433 nucleotides) under uncultured bacterium. RNAcentral describes it as "partial 16S ribosomal RNA". It matches the Rfam family "Bacterial small subunit ribosomal RNA", at positions 29 to 507 of the family's 1533-position model. The record is from RNAcentral.